This 253-nucleotide ribosomal RNA is filed under the name uncultured bacterium. Its description in RNAcentral is "partial 16S ribosomal RNA". It matches the Rfam family "Bacterial small subunit ribosomal RNA", at positions 524 to 776 of the family's 1533-position model. The record is from RNAcentral.
UACGUAGGGGGCAAGCGUUAUCCGGAUUUACUGGGUGUAAAGGGAGCGUAGACGGCGAUGCAAGUCUGAAGUGAAAGGCGGGGGCCCAACCCUCGGACUGCUUUGGAAACUGUAUGGCUGGAGUGCAGGAGAGGUAAGUGGAAUUCCUAGUGUAGCGGUGAAAUGCGUAGAUAUUAGGAGGAACACCAGUGGCGAAGGCGGCUUACUGGACUGUAACUGACGUUGAGGCUCGAAAGCGUGGGGAGCAAACAGG